UGUCAUGAUAAAUCCACCGUAUCAGGACCU
Molecule: non-coding RNA, 30 nt
Filed under: Rattus norvegicus (Norway rat)
Lineage: Eukaryota; Metazoa; Chordata; Mammalia; Rodentia; Muridae
Source: RNAcentral